UAAACUGUUUAGAGCAUGCACUCAUCUAGUUGUGGUAAACUCACACCUGACUACUCAGAAUCACUCAUUAUAAGCCCGACUACAUCAUUAACAUUGAAAAAUUAAAAACAAUAACUUUUUUAUAUUUUAAAUAGUCU
Molecule: non-coding RNA, 137 nt
Organism: Populus trichocarpa (black cottonwood)
Lineage: Eukaryota; Viridiplantae; Streptophyta; Magnoliopsida; Malpighiales; Salicaceae
Source: Rfam